AGCAGCCGCGGUAAUUCCAGCUCCAAUAGCGUAUAUUAAAGUUGCUGCAGUUAAAAAGCUCGUAGUUGAAUUUCGGGACUAAUAUGUUGGUCGUGCCUCGGUACGUACUGGUAUUUUUGGUUUCUCCCUUCUGACGAACCUUGAUGUCAUUAAUUUGGUGUCUUGGGAAAUCAGGACUGUUACUUUGAAAAAAUUAGAGUGUUUAAAGCAGGCUCACGCUUGAAUACAUUAGCAUGGAAUAAUAAAACAGGACGUUUGAUUCUAUUUUGUUGGUUUCUAGGAUUGACGUAAUGAUUAAUAGGGAUAGUUGGGGGCAUUAGUAUUCAAUUGUCAGAGGUGAAAUUCUUGGAUUUAUUGAAGACUAACUACUGCGAAAGCAUUUUGCCAAGGAUGUUUUCAUUAAUCAAGAACGAAAGUUAGGGGAUCGAAGACGAUCAGAUACCGUCGUAGUCUUAACCAUAAACUAUGCCGACUAGGGAUCGGAUGAUGUUAAUUUUUUAAUGACUCAUUCGGCGCCUUA
This 520-nucleotide ribosomal RNA is filed under the name uncultured Glomus. Its description in RNAcentral is "SSU rRNA". It matches the Rfam family "Eukaryotic small subunit ribosomal RNA", at positions 569 to 1090 of the family's 1831-position model. Lineage: Eukaryota; Fungi; Glomeromycota; Glomeromycetes; Glomerales; Glomeraceae. The record is from RNAcentral.